CAAACACGUGUACAAGUUAUACCCACACAUACAAACACGUGUACAAGUUAUACCCACACAUACAAACACGUGUACAAGUUAUACCCACACAUACAAACACGUGUACAAGUUAUACCCACACAUACAAACACGUGUACAAGUUAUACCCACACAUACAAACACGUGUACAAGUUAUACCCACACAUACAAACACGUGUACAAGUUAUACCCACACAUACAAACACGUGUACAAGUUAUACCCACACAUACAAACACGUGUACAAGUUAUACCCACACAUACAAACAUGUAUAGGUUAUACCCACACAUAGAAACACGUGUACAAGUUAUACCCACACAUAGAAACACGUGUACAAGUUAUACCCACACAUACAAACAUGUGUACAAGUUAUACCCACACAUAUAGUUGUAUGAUUUACACGACAAAUACAACUUUGUGUGUAGUUAUUGUUAAAAAAGAAAAGAAUCAUUACAUUUAAAAGAAAUUUGAAAAAAAGAGGAUAAUUCUGUGAUCUUAACUGAGAAUGGAUUUUUUUUAUUCAAGAAUAUUUUUUCUUUUUAAAAGGAUUGUUCAAUAAAUAUUUUUAAAGCUUGAAAUUGUUUAUUGAGAAAAAAAUGUUGAACAAUAAUGCUUUGUUAUAUUGAGAUGAUUUUAAUACUUUUUAAAUUGAAAGGAAAAAAGUUCUUCAUCAAGCAAAUUAGUCUGUUUUCAUGCCUGUGUAUGUACUGUAUGAUUAUUGUAUGUUUAAUCAGUGCGAUAGUUCCCCAAUCUGUUUGUGUAAUACACUGUAUUGAAAUACAAUGUAAUACAAUGUACUGUAGUAAAAUAUAAUACAAUGUAUUCUAGUACAAUGUAAUACAAUAUAUUACAUUACAAUGUAAUACAUUGUAGUCUUGUAGGUUGAAAUAGUAAAAACAAGAACAAUGUAAUACAUUGUAUUCAGUACAUUGUUAUGUUGUGUUUCCAUUAAAAAUCCAAUCUUUCUUCUAGAAUAAUGCAGUAAAUUGUGAUGUACUACGUAUUCAUAUUGUGGAGCAUGUAAUAAAAAAGUUGAUCCUACA
This is a long non-coding RNA of Pecten maximus, 1060 nucleotides long. RefSeq lists it as uncharacterized. The record is from RefSeq and is a predicted model, not a curated record. The transcript is spliced from 2 exons. NCBI's taxonomy places the organism in Eukaryota, Metazoa, Mollusca, Bivalvia, Pectinida, Pectinidae.